This 300-nucleotide signal recognition particle RNA is filed under the name Saimiri boliviensis boliviensis (Bolivian squirrel monkey). Its description in RNAcentral is "Metazoan signal recognition particle RNA (ENSSBOG00000006378.1)". It matches the Rfam family "Metazoan signal recognition particle RNA". Rfam says of the family: The signal recognition particle (SRP) is a universally conserved ribonucleoprotein. The record is from RNAcentral. Lineage: Eukaryota; Metazoa; Chordata; Mammalia; Primates; Cebidae.
GUUGGGCGUGGUGGCACGUGGCUGUAGUCCCAGCUACUCCGGAGGCUGAGGUGGGAGGAUCACUUGAGCCCAGGAGUUCUGAAGCUGUAGUGCACUAUGCCAGUUGGGUGUCCACACUAAGUUCGGCAUCAAUAUGGUAACCUCCCAUGAGCAGGGGAUCACCAGGUUGCUUAAGGAGGGGUGAACUGGUCCAGGUCAGAAGUGGAGCAGGUCAAAACUCCCGUGCUUAUCAGUAAUGGGAUCACACCUGUGAAUAGCCACUGCACUCCAGUCUGGGCAACAUAGCGAGACCCCGUCUCU